RNAcentral lists this ribosomal RNA (397 nucleotides) under uncultured bacterium. Its description in RNAcentral is "partial 16S ribosomal RNA". It matches the Rfam family "Bacterial small subunit ribosomal RNA", at positions 523 to 918 of the family's 1533-position model. The record is from RNAcentral.
AUACGUAGGUGGCAAGCGUUAUCCGGAUUUACUGGGUGUAAAGGGCGCGUAGGCGGGGGUGCAAGUCAGAUGUGAAAUCUAUGGGCUUAACUCAUAAACUGCAUUUGAAACUGUAUCUCUUGAGUGCUGGAGAGGUAGACGGAAUUCCUUGUGUAGCGGUGAAAUGCGUAGAUAUAAGGAAGAACACCAGUGGCGAAGGCGGUCUACUGGACAGUAACUGACGCUGAGGCGCGAAAGCGUGGGGAGCAAACAGGAUUAGAUACCCUGGUAGUCCGCGCCGUAAACGAUGAAUACUAGGUGUAGGGGGUAUCGACUCCCUCUGUGCCGCAGGUAACACAUUAAGUAUUCCACCUGGGGAGUACGGCCGCAAGGUUGAAACUCAAAUGAAUUGACGGGG